CCGAAAGGAGGAUUAAUACCCCAUAAUAAAUUGAAUGGCAUCAUUUGAUUUUGAAAGUUCCGACGGUUAAGGAUGAGUAUGCGUCUGAUUAGCUAGUUGGUGAGGUAAAGGCUCACCAAGGCAACGAUCAGUAGGGGAUCUGAGAGGACUACCCCCCACACUGGUACUGAGACACGGACCAGACUCCUACGGGAGGCAGCAGUAAGGAAUAUUGGUCAAUGGAGGCAACUCUGAACCAGCCAUGCCGCGUGCAGGAAGACGGCCCUAUGGGUUGUAAACUGCUUUUGUACGGGAGAAAACCCUUUCACGUGUGAGAGGUUGAUAGUACCGUAAGAAUAAGCAUCGGCUAACUUCGUGCCAGCAGCCGCGGUAAGACGAAGGAUGCAAGCGUUAUCCGGAUUCAUUGGGUUUAAAGGGAGCGUAGGUGGACUUGUAAGUCAGUGGUGAAAUCUCUCAGCUUAACUGAGAAACUGCCAUUGAUACUGCAGGUCUUGAGUACAGAUGAUGUGGGCGGAAUAUGACAUGUAGUGGUGAAAUACUUAGAUAUGUCAUAGAACACCGAUUGCGAA
RNAcentral lists this ribosomal RNA (569 nucleotides) under uncultured Bacteroidota bacterium. RNAcentral's name for it is "bacterial SSU rRNA". It matches the Rfam family "Bacterial small subunit ribosomal RNA", at positions 151 to 719 of the family's 1533-position model. Lineage: Bacteria; Pseudomonadati; Bacteroidota. The record is from RNAcentral.